UACAGGGGGGGGCAAGCGUUGUUCGGAAUUACUGGGCGUAAAGGGCUCGUAGGUGGCCAACUAAGUCAGACGUGAAAUCCCUCAGCUUAACUGGGGAACUGCGUCUGAUACUGGAUGGCUUGAGUUUGGGAGAGGGAUGCGGAAUUCCAGGUGUAGCGGUGAAAUGCGUAGAUAUCUGGAGGAACACCGGUGGCGAAGGCGGCAUCCUGGCCUGUUCUUGACGCUGAGGCGCGAAAGCUAGGGGAGCAAACGGG
This 254-nucleotide ribosomal RNA is filed under the name uncultured bacterium. RNAcentral describes it as "partial 16S ribosomal RNA". It matches the Rfam family "Bacterial small subunit ribosomal RNA", at positions 524 to 776 of the family's 1533-position model. The record is from RNAcentral.